Leptonychotes weddellii (Weddell seal) is the source of this 587-nucleotide non-coding RNA. The record is from RefSeq and is a predicted model, not a curated record. Lineage: Eukaryota; Metazoa; Chordata; Mammalia; Carnivora; Phocidae.
UAAAAAAAAAAAAAACGUGAACCUGAGCCCAAUGAAGCCCGUAGAUCUCGUGGCCACUCGAGAGGAAGUACGCGGGACCGAGGAGCGCCACACGGUGCCACGAGCAAGAAAUGGACCGCUCCCACCACGGGGCCGUGCAGCUUCAACGGCCUGGUGUCUCCAACAAUGGUGGAAACGUUACCGAGAGAGAGGAGGAAACUAUGAUGAAUUAUGACACUUAGAGACCUGUCAGCCAAGUGUCAUCUUUGGACUUUGGAUCCUGAUUUAGACAAAUCCACUUUAAAAAAAAACACAUUUUUGAGACCCAAAUCAGGGAAAAUUGGGCGCAGAAUGGGUACUAGGUGAUUUUAAUGAAUGGGGAGUGUUAUUAGACAUAAUAAUGGUAUUGUGUCACUUCUUUAAAUCCUGUUAGAGGUACGAAUAAGCACUGAGCCUCUUUCUUUCAGGGGAGCAGAGGACUGGAUGGUUAUCAAGGCCCCGACGGGCCCCCAGGACCCAAGGGAGAAGCGGGUGACCGCGGCCCCCCAGGUGCACCUGCUUACUUCCCUUACCCCUCCCUAAUUAAAGGUUCGUAUGUCUGCAUCACA